Triticum aestivum (bread wheat) is the source of this 1275-nucleotide long non-coding RNA. RefSeq lists it as uncharacterized. Lineage: Eukaryota; Viridiplantae; Streptophyta; Magnoliopsida; Poales; Poaceae. The record is from RefSeq and is a predicted model, not a curated record. The transcript is spliced from 3 exons.
ACAAGUGUUUGCAGAUCUGCUUAUUAAAGGCUUACCACCCAGUGUGUUUGGAGAACACACAGUCGACAUGAAUUUUAUGGUAUAGUUUAAGAUUUCCGGACAAUAAAGGGCCCAAGGUUAAAGAAUUUGUUUCAAAACAGAAAGGUACGUUGUGGCUGUCUGAUUCUAUCGGCAAUUGAGCUGUGACGAUGAAACAUGUUCUAUGUACCAAUAUGUGAUGAAACAAAUAAACUAGAAAGUAUAAGGAUAAAAGUAAAGUUGAGAUCAAGGGGGAGAAUGUUAGGUUGAUCUCUUCCCAAUCGAGCCCAACGGCUCGACGGGCCCUUGACCCGAGCCCUAAUCGGGGGCGCCGAACCUAACCAAAGGCUGGUGGGCCCCUGUUGCCGCGCUAUAUAAAGGGGUGGGGGAGCCAGCCGCACGCGACACGAGGUUCACCGUGCGCCGCAAUCCCCACCAAUAUCCCUACCGAUCUAGGGUUAGCGCGAUGCGAUGGGAAGCUCAACCACCGCCGCCACCCACGCACAAUCGCGCUCACGCCGUUGCCACAUCACGAUGACCUUCGGCGCGAGCUCGUCAGGUCAAGGAGGAGCAUCCAUGGUAACGAUAUCGUCCACAUGAAUUCCACGGUCAAAUCAGACACCAAGCUGAUGAUCUCCAUUGACAUGAGAGACAAGACAUUGAAGACAUUAUCACCGUGUCCUCUUGCUGGAACGGACGCCAAUCGUCCCCUUUUCCCUUGCGUGUUGUCGAAUCAUUUGAGCAACACUCCAGUGAAAUCUCAUCCAGGAUACCCUGUGGUUAACGGAGCGGCCUUUGGGCGAAUGGUGGAUCCACUGAACAACCGGCCCACGUAUCAGCCUCCGCCAAGGUCCUUCAACACGCAUUUGCCACCAAUACCUCCUGCAGUGGCUAGAAACCCUCUUCAGCCGUCAUACCCAGUGUUUAACACAGCCGGCUUUGGACGGAUGGUGCGUCCACUUCCGCUGAAUGACUGGCGCCUGUUUCACCCUCUGCGACAACUGCCUCCUUUGCCGCCGCCACCACCAUUCAGCACGAUGUUGUCGUCACUUCCUCCUCCAGCGGAUGCCAAUUAUGUUCUUGGCAACAGGCACCGGAGCCAACAUCGAUACUCACCCUAUGGACGACCCUGUUAAAUUAUAUAGCCUACUUUUUAGAUGAAUUUGUUGAACCUUAAGUACUUAAAGACGUAAAUAUCAGACAUAUUAAUGGAUUCCUGUUGUCAUGCCUGUAGUGUUGUUUAUCAUCUAUCAUGCA